CAUCACUCUCAUUGUAAGAGGAAAAUACAAAUUAAUAUAUACAAGAAGAGGAAUUCUCUUAUUUCCUUUCUCUGUCUCUAUCUCUCAAUCCCUUAUCUUCCUAUUUCCUAUUCUGGUAUCAGAGCCAGCAAUGGUGAAUACUGAACCCUUCUCCUUAUUCUCAGUUCUGCGUCACGUCAUUACCAACACCGAAAAUACGAUAGAACCUCCUCUAAAUCAGCUCUUAAAUCAAGUGACGUCCAUUAAAAUGGACAGGUCGAAUUUUCUUCUUUGGCAAAACCUCGUCUGGCCCAUUCUCAGGAGCUACAAGCUAGAAGGCUAUCCAACAGGGGAAACUCCAUGCCCCAGUUGUUUUAUCAUAGAAAAUGUAAAUGCUAGUGAAAGCUCCAGCGAGAGCUCAAGUGCUGAACCAGGUGCAUCAAUUGAGAAAGAGCACCAACCAAAUCCAGUUGAAUAGCAAUGGACAAGCUUCUCUUGGGCUGGCUCUACAACUUGAUGUCUCAAGAUGUCGCAACCCAAAUGAUGGGGUUUCAAAUUUCCAAGGAUCUGUGGGAAGCCGUUCAGGAACUGGUAGGCAUCCAAUCCAUGGCAGAAACUAAUUAUCUCAAGCGAUUGUUCCAACAAACAUGCAAGGGAGCUUUAAAAAUGGGUGAGUACUUGGCCUUAAUGAAAAAAUAUUUUGAUAGGCUUGCCCUUGCUAGGAGCCCCGUGUUUGCUAUUGAUCUUGUUUCUCAGGUGCUAUCAGGGUUGGAUGAGGAAUACAAUCUCGUAAUAGUAGUCAUUCAAGGCAAAGGUGCAGUACGCUGGUCAGAUAUGCAGUCGGACUUUCUUUCUCACGAAAAAUGCCUUGAAUAUCAGCUUGCAGUCAAAUCAAGUGUGUUCGGAAUGUCUGGCUUAUCUCUAUCUUCUAACCCUUUUUCUGUGAAUGUGGUGCAAGGUAGCACUCAGACCAAUCAAAAUCAGUAUCAAAAUCCACAAGGUGCCACCCAAUUCUUGAAUUCUGGGGGGUGGGGGGUAGAGGUCGAAAUAGAGGAAAAGGUCACUAGGACAAUGCUUCGACAAAUCGGCCAACAUAUCAAACUUGUGGAAAAUUGGGACACACGACCGACAUCUGUUUCUUUCGCUAUAACAAAGAGUUCAACAACCCCAGACAAACUCACAAUCGGGCUGAAUCCACCCAACUGCCUACCAACCGAACUCAGGAUCAAAAUCCAUCACCAAUGGUUGCCAAUUCCAACAUUUCCUCCCUUGAAACAGUGGCUGACCCAAACUGGUAUGCCGAUGGUAGGGCCACCAGCCACGUUACCAGCAACCGCAAAUUUCUAACAUCCGCUACUGAUUACACAAGUAUGGAAAAGGUGAUUAUUGGGGAUGGUACUCCCUUGAAAAUCUCUUAGUUGGGUACCUCUGUUAUUCGUUCUAAAUCAGGAUAAGGAUUCGGGGGAGGAGCUACUGAGAGGCACACUUAAGGAUGGUCUCUACCGGAUGGAAUGCACCAACCUGUUGAUAAAUAUCAUGUCUAGAACUCAGUUUGAUGGAAGUUUAGCUCGGUUGAUCACAGUUUUCCUUCUUUGCAUAUUUUACAUACUAAUGUAUCAAUGUCCACAACCUGAUUACACAAAUGUCUUGGACAUACAUCCCCUAAAAUUUUGGACAAACUGAUUAGAGGAUGUAACCUCAAAAUAUCUAUUAAUGCGAAAAAUAAAUUCUACAAAGCUUGUCAAUUCGGAAAAA
Molecule: non-coding RNA, 1734 nt
Organism: Benincasa hispida (wax gourd)
Lineage: Eukaryota; Viridiplantae; Streptophyta; Magnoliopsida; Cucurbitales; Cucurbitaceae
Source: RefSeq, a predicted model, not a curated record